This 1290-nucleotide long non-coding RNA is filed under the name Anser cygnoides (Swan goose). RNAcentral describes it as "lncRNA (ENSACDG00005001510.1)". Lineage: Eukaryota; Metazoa; Chordata; Aves; Anseriformes; Anatidae. The record is from RNAcentral.
GGGGGAGCGACUGCUGGCAAGCAAACAGCAGCAGCUGGGGUUGUCUCAGCACCGGGUGGGUUCCCAUCCCUCGGUUGGAGCACGCGUCUGUGCCUGGAUCUGCAGGAGCCCGGUUCCCCCUGGCUGACUGCAGUCGGUCUCUCAGACCUGGCCAUCAGGCUCCUGCAGUUGUUUACCACCAGAAAUAUGACUUCGCAAUUCUAUCAAAAUUAAGACUGGAUUAAAGUGGGUUAAAGAAGGGGAAAGUUUGGCUUGGUUGCAAUCCUGCCCUAUAAGGGUCCUUGGGGUGUGGUAAAUCUGCCAUUCUUCCCCUAGGGCCUUAUUCCUCUGCCACAAACCCCACGGGGCAUCCGCGGUGUCACCGUGGGCAGCCUGGGGACGGGGUCGAUGUCAGCAGCCAGAUGGCUCUGGAAGGAGAAAAAAACCCUUUGGGUGCAGGGGGGGAUUGGGGCCACGAGUCCACCCCCUUCCCAGCACAUUGCCAGGCAGUUCUGUGGGUGAAACACCCCACAGUGACCCCAUGUCGCGGGGCCUGGGGACCAUCACCCUGGGGGGGUGCCAGGGGUGGCCGUCCCCACGUCACCUUGGUGCCCGCGGGUGGUGGCCGGUGGCGCGGUGCCUGCCAGAGCCGCAGGAGUUAAGCGCGGGGCUGGCAGGAGCUGGCUCAGGUGGGUGGCACGCCGUGGAGACAAGACUCGAGUGAGGAGGAGGAGGAGGAGGACGGAGAAAGGGAGGGGAGAAGAAGGGAGGAGGAGGAGGAGGAGGAGGAGGCAGCAGCGGGGAGCGGUGUGCGUGCGGCCGCAGCGGAGCCGUGCGAGGGGAGGAUGGCUGCUUCUCCCCGCUGCCUCCGGGCCGCGAGCUGAGGGCGAGCGUGGCAGGGGGUGGCCUGCUGGCCCUGGGCCCCGUCCCCGCGGGACGAGGACAAGGACCCCGCUUCGACGGGUCCAGCACGGCUCCAGCCCUUUGUCUGCUGGCGGGGGCUCGCGGGAGCCAGAUGAGCGGGCGGCCGCAGCGGGGAGCAGGCAGACGGAUGCUCACGGCGCUGGGGGACGGGAGGAGAGCCCAAGGGAAUGACCUCGAGGAGCAGCCUGGAAGACGCAGCAGAGCCCCGAAAUGAGCCAUUUGGGGAGGAAGAGGAGGCGAAGCUCUGAUUAGAAGACCAGCCCUGAGCGGGGGGUUAUGUGCCCUCGGCGGGGGGAGGCAGGCAGGGCAGCCGGCAGCGGGGGCUGAUCGGUGUGAGGGCUUCCCCCUGGGGCACCUUCUCCUGCGGACGCCGUGCCCACCCGCAGU